GUGCCAGCCGCUGCGGUAAUACGUAGGUGGCGAGCGUUAUCCGGAUUUAUUGGGUUUAAAGGGUGCGUAGGCGGCUUAAUAAGUCGGUGGUUAAAGGUAGCAGCUUAACUGUUUUACAUGCCACCGAUACUGUUGAGCUUGAGUGAUCAGAAGGCAGGCAGAAUUUCUGGUGUAGCGGUGAAAUGCAUAGAUACCAGGAGACCCAAUGCGAAGCAGCUUGCUGCAGAUAAACUGACGCUGAUGCACGAAAGUGUGGGGAUCAAACAGGAUUAGAUACCCUGGUAGUCCACACUGUAAACGAUGAUUACUAGUUGUUGGGCGAAAGCUCAGUGACCAAGGGAAACCGAUAAGUAAUCCACCUGGGGAGUACGCCGGCAACGGUGAAACUCAAAGGAAUUGACGGGGUCCGCACAAGCGGUGGAGCAUGUGGUUUAAUUCGAUGAUACGCGAGGAACCUUACUGGCUAGAAUGUGAGGGAUAUAUCAGAGAUGGUAUAGCCAGC
RNAcentral lists this ribosomal RNA (502 nucleotides) under uncultured Leadbetterella sp. RNAcentral describes it as "bacterial SSU rRNA". It matches the Rfam family "Bacterial small subunit ribosomal RNA", at positions 505 to 1019 of the family's 1533-position model. The record is from RNAcentral. Lineage: Bacteria; Pseudomonadati; Bacteroidota; Cytophagia; Cytophagales; Leadbetterellaceae.